CGAGGAAUCUUGGGCAAUGGGCGAAAGCCUGACCCAGCGACGCCGCGUGAGGGAUGAAGGCCUUCGGGUCGUAAACCUCUUUUGUGAGGGAAGAAGUUCUGACGGUACCUCACGAAUAAGCCACGGCUAACUACGUGCCAGCAGCCGCGGUAAUACGUAGGUGGCAAGCGUUGUCCGGAUUUACUGGGCGUAAAGGGCUUGUAGGCGGUCCGUUAAGUCCGGUGUGAAAUCUCCCGGCUCAACUGGGAGGGGUCAUCGGAUACUGGCGGACUCGAGGUGGGCAGAGGAAAGCAGAAUUCCCGGUGUAGCGGUGAAAUGCGUAGAUAUCGGGAGGAAUACCAGUGGCGAAGGCGGCUUUCUGGGCCUAUCCUGACGCUGAGGAGCGAAAGCGUGGGGAGCAAACCGGAUUAGAUACCCGGGUAGUCCACGCCCUAAACGGUGGAUGCUAGGUGUAGGGGGUGUCGACCCCUCUGUGCCGCAGCUAACGCUUUAAGCAUCCCGCCUGGGGAGUACGGCCGCAAGG
Molecule: ribosomal RNA, 523 nt
Filed under: uncultured bacterium
Lineage: Bacteria
Description: bacterial SSU rRNA
Rfam family: Bacterial small subunit ribosomal RNA
Source: RNAcentral